Molecule: ribosomal RNA, 540 nt
Filed under: uncultured bacterium
Lineage: Bacteria
Description: bacterial SSU rRNA
Rfam family: Bacterial small subunit ribosomal RNA
Source: RNAcentral
UAGGGAAUAUUGGACAAUGGGUGUAAGCCUGAUCCAGCCAUGCCGCGUGCAGGAAGAAGGCCUUCUGGGUUGUAAACUGCUUUUGCCGGGGGAUAAAAGAUCCAUGCGUGGAGAAUUGAAGGUACCCGGUGAAUAAGCCACGGCUAACUACGUGCCAGCAGCCGCGGUAAUACGUAGGUGGCAAGCGUUGUCCGGAUUUAUUGGGUUUAAAGGGUGCGUAGGCGGUCCUGUAAGUCAGUGGUGAAAUACGGCAGCUCAACUGUCGAGGUGCCAUUGAUACUGCGGGACUUGAGUACAGACGAGGUAGGCGGAAUUGACGGUGUAGCGGUGAAAUGCUUAGAUAUCGUCAAGAACACCGAUAGCGAAGGCAGCUUACUAGACUGUAACUGACGCUGAGGCACGAAAGUGCGGGGAUCAAACAGGAUUAGAUACCCUGGUAGUCCGCACAGUAAACGAUGGUCACUCGGUGUUGGCGAUACACAGCCAGCGCCUUAGCGAAAGCGUUAAGUGACCCACCUGGGGAGUACGCCCGCAAGGGUG